AAGUAGUCGCACGAGCGCACCCUUAUCCUUUGUUGCCAGCGCGUAAUGGUGGGAACUCAAAGGAGACUGCCGGUGAUAAACCGGAGGAAGGGGGGGAUGACGUCAAGUCAUCAUGGCCCUUACGAGUAGGGCUACACACGUGCUACAAUGGCAGAUACAAAGAGAAGCGACCUCGCGAGAGCAAGCGGAACUCAUAAAGUCUGUCGUAGUCCGGAUUGGAGUCUGCAACUCGACUCCAUGAAGUCGGAAUCGCUAGUAAUCGUAGAUCAAAAUGCUACGGUGAAUACGUUCCCGGGCCUUGUACACACCGCCCGA
This 315-nucleotide ribosomal RNA is filed under the name Proteus mirabilis. RNAcentral's name for it is "bacterial SSU rRNA". It matches the Rfam family "Bacterial small subunit ribosomal RNA", at positions 1082 to 1397 of the family's 1533-position model. The record is from RNAcentral. Lineage: Bacteria; Pseudomonadati; Pseudomonadota; Gammaproteobacteria; Enterobacterales; Morganellaceae.